Molecule: long non-coding RNA, 116 nt
Filed under: Coturnix japonica (Japanese quail)
Lineage: Eukaryota; Metazoa; Chordata; Aves; Galliformes; Phasianidae
Description: lncRNA (ENSCJPG00005008427.1)
Source: RNAcentral
AUUUGGAGGAACAAAACAAAGGGGAGGAAAAGGAAGUUGGUUAUAUAACACAUCAGUUGGAAACUACCAAAGAGAGUUGGGUGCGUAUGUGGCUGCUGGUAGGAACUGGUAGGUAG